Molecule: long non-coding RNA, 861 nt
Organism: Rhinolophus ferrumequinum (greater horseshoe bat)
Lineage: Eukaryota; Metazoa; Chordata; Mammalia; Chiroptera; Rhinolophidae
Exons: 3
Source: RefSeq, a predicted model, not a curated record
GAGGUGCAGUGUCCCCGGCCAUAGUGUCCACUCACCUGUGCCUCGUUUGGGCCGUGAGGACCAUGACUUGGCUUUGGCUUCGAGGAAACUGGUGACAAAGCGCCUGGCAUCCCGCUGGCUGAGUGUCCCUGCCCGUGUGUUGAGGGCGGCCUGCUGGGCAGGAGUCAGCCGGGGGCAGCGCUGCAGGUUCUGCAGCACAUGGGGGUCCGAGGCCACAAUGCUGGACGCGUCCAUGUCGCAUACCAGGACCCCAAGGAGCAGGAGGUCGGAAGCGCUGAGCCGAGUGGGCGGCCCUCCCUGCAGGACAGCAGAGCAGUCCAUACUUGGGUCAGCUGUGAAUCGAGGUGGCCCCUCUCACAGCCCAGGUUGGGGAGAGGCCAGCAGGCUAGAAGAUCGAACCCAGGGGCACCAAGUGCCAGAUGAAGGCCAGAUGGACAAGCCCUCACCCAACCAAGAACAGGAGGCUUAAGUCUGGGGCCACGGGCUAAGAAGUCCUGGAAAGGGGGCAAAGCGGACUGCACUGGAGAACCACACGAGGAGGGACCCCUGACCUCAGAGGGCAGGCUUCUGUCGCCUCAGCGUCAGCCUGAGAGGUGCUUCGUAGGUGGCUGUGGAGUUGGCAGGUUGGCUUAGAGACAACCAUGUGCAGUGUCUCCAGCACGGCCCCUUGCAAGCGAGCUGUCUGCGUCACAGCUGUAUAGUCCUGGACUUUGCUGGCCUGUGUCCUCUGCUGGGGACGCCCUCACUUCCUACCCAGCUCCAGAGCCUUCUCUCUUGAGCCUGCCCUUGCCCUCGGCACCCCAGCCUGAUAAACACCAACCGAGGCUGCUUACCUGCCAGGCUUUGAGGAGCACCUGCUGC